AACCUGCAUCCUCAUGGAGACUAUGUAGGGUUCUUAACCCACUGAGCCACAAUGGGAACUUUGAUUCUUUAAACUCUUUCCAACUCUUAUAAAUAUAAACAAUUCUAUGAUAAAUAACCUUUUGCAAUCAUGUUUGUGUAUAUCUGAUUAUAUUUUAGUGUAAAUUCUCAGAAUUGUGACUGCUGGGUCAAAGACAAUGCUUUAUUAAUUUAUCUUGUUUUUGUUUUUUUUGUCGGCCCCACCCACAGCACGUAGAAGUUCUGGGGUCAGGGAUUGAACCUGUGCCAUAGCAGCGACCCAGCCACAGGAGAGACAACACCAGGUCUUUAACCCACUGAGCCACCAGAGAACUCCUAUUUCAGUUUUUAAAUAAAUAAAAUUCUAAAUUACCCUGUAGAAGAAUAAUGCCAAUUCAUAUCCCAAGAUUAAUGUAUGUUAUCCCUUUUUCUCACAAUUUUAUCCUUUGAUGAUCAUUUUCAGAUAGAUGAUGUUUCCAAUCUAAUAAGUGAUAAUUUAGAUCUGUUAUUAUGAAUGUGCCUUACUUUAUAAGUAAAGUUGUAUGACUUCUUAUGCUUAUUGACCAUUUUAUUUUUUAUUUUUUAAUUGCCUUUGCUCUUGUUUUUCUAUUUAACUCUUCCUAACUAAAUUCUUAUUACAUUGGUUAUUAGAACUGCAAACCUUUUUCCAAGAUAACCUAGAUUUAAGGUGUCCCCAGCUUUAGAAGUUGGGGGAAGAGGACAACACAGUAUCCACAUAGCUGUCUUUAUGUUUAUCUCAUGCCUCUGACUGCCAGGAUACAUGAACUAACUCAGCAUGGCUCUGAUGCCCUUUAAAAUUCUUCUCAGGCAAAAACCUUAGUGAACAAGAAAACAUAACUGAAGUUUUCAUAAGGAAGGUGGAGAACAGAUUUUGCAAAACCCACCCUACAGAAAAAUCCCUAGUAGAUAGGUCUGUUAUCAUUAGCUUGAUCUGGGGCUGAAAUAGGGAGUGGCUUCUCCUCAACUUGCUUUCUCAAAAUUGUCUUGAUGUUCAGUCAAACAAAAGGUCCUCAAGUUACCCAAAAUUACCCUCCUUAAAAGAAAAUUAAACAAUCAUCUUAACUGCUUUUGAUUAUGCCCUUGCUAUCACACUCAACUCCUGCAGUUUGUGAGAGUAUUUCUUCUGAUCUUUUUCUGUUAAAUUUUUCAAAAGUGUUAACUUUUAUUCACCGAGUUUCUGCCCAUUUCUUGUUGAUUUUAUUUCUAGAUAUUUUUUAUUUGGUUGCUGUAGCAAGUGGUAAUUUGUUUCACUACAUUAUCUAACAAAUCUUUUUUUUAAUUUUAUUAUAGUUGAUUUACAUUGUUAUGUCAGUUUUUGCUGGAAAGCAAACUGACCCAGUCAUACAACUAUACACACUCUUUCACUCUUUCUCAUAUUAUCUUUCAUCCCAGUCCAUCACAAGUAAUUGGACAUAGUUACCUGUGCUUUACAGCAGAACCUCAUUGCUUAUCCACUCUUUUUUUUUUUUUUUUAGGGCCACACCUAUAGUCACCUGUGCCAUAUUUUAGAUUCCACAUAUAAGUGAUAGCAUAUGGUAUCUGUCUUUUUCUGAUUUACUUCACUUAAUAUGAGAAUCUCUAGUUGCAUCCACGUUGCUACAAAAUGGCAUUAUUUUGUUCUUUUUUAUGGCUGAGUAGUAUUCCAUUGUAUAUUUAUACAUCAUCUUCUUAAUCCAUUCAUCUGUCAAUGGACAUUUAGGUUGUUUCCAUGUCUUGGCAACUGUGAAUAAUGCUGCAGUGAACAUAGGGGUGCAUGUAUCUCUUUCAAUGAAAUUUUUGUCUGGAUAUAUACCCAGGAGUGGGACUGCUGGAUCUGAUGGUAGUUCUAUAUUUAGUUUUCUACGGAACCUCCAUACUGUUUUCCAUAGUGGUUGUACCAAUUUACAUUCCCACCACAGUGUAGGAGGGUUCCCUUUUCUCCACACCCUCUCCAGCAUUUGUUAUUGUAGUCUUACUAAUCAUGGCCAUUCUGACAGGUGUGAGGUGGUACUACACUGGAGUUUUGAUUUGCACUUUUCUAAUAAUUAGCGAUAUUGAACAUUUUUUCAUGUACCUAUUGGCCAUCCAUAUGUCUUCUUUGGAGAAGUGUCUAUCUAUUUAGGUCCUCUGCCCAUUUUUCAACUGGGUUGUUUUUUUGCUAUUGAGUCCUAUGAGUUGUUUGCAUAUUUUAGAGAUUAAGCCCUCGUCAGUUGAAUCAUUUGAAACUAUUUUCUCCCAGUCUUUUCAUUUUUUUUUUUUUUAUGGUUUUCUUUGCUGUGCAAAAGCUUGUAAGUCUGAUUAGGUCCUAUUGAUUUAUUUUUGCUUUUAUUUCUAUCACCUUGGGCAACUGACCUAAAAACAUUUGUAAGGCUGAUGUCAGAGAAUGUUUUGCCUGUGUUCUCUUCUAGAAGUUUUAUGGUGUCUUGUCUUGUGUUUUAAGUCUUUAAGACAUUUUGAAUUUAUUUUUGUUCAUGGUGUAAGGGUGUGUUCUAGUUUCAUUGAUUUACAUGGAGCUGUCGAGAUUUCCCAGCACCACUUCCUAAAGAGACUGUCUUUUUCCCAUUUUAUAUUCUUGCCUCCUCGAAGAUUAACUGUAAGUUUUGGGUUUAUUUCUCAGUUUCCUAUUCUGUUUCACUGGUCCAUAAGGUGUAACCAAUCUUUUUUAUGUAUCAGAACUGUUGAUUGGGAUACAUUUUUUUUUUUUUUUUUUUGUCUUUUUGCCAUUUCUUGGGCCGCUCCUGCGGCAUAUGGAGGUUCCCAGGCUAGGGGUCGAAUCAGAGCUGUAGCCACCAGCCUACGCCAGAGCCACAGCAGCACAGGAUCCAAGCUGCGUCUGUGACCUACACCACAGCUCACGGCAACGCCAGCAACGCCAAAUCGUUAACCCACUGAGCAAGGGCAGGGAUCAAACCCACAACCUCAUGGUUCCUGGUCGGAUUCAUUAACCACUGCGCCACGACAGGAACUCCUGGUCAGUAUUUCUAAAUGAGGAAUACUGGUAAUGAUGACAGGAUUCUUUGUCUUUCAUUACAAAGACUUCUAAAUCUUUCAUUAAAAUGAUGCUGCCUUUAGUAUAUUUUGUAUACACACAUACACAUAUAAAAUUUUAAUGUCAAAGAAAUUUAGAUCUUUUCCUAUUACACUGAUGGUUUGCAUUUCUUACUGGCAUUUUUUUUUUUUUUUUUGCUUUUUUUUUUUUUUAGGGCCCCACCCAUGGCAUAUGGAAGUUCCCAGGCUAGGGGUUGAAUCAGCCACAACAACGUGGGAUCCAAGACUUGUCUGCGACCCACACCAUGGCUCAUGGCAAUGCCAGAUCCUUAACCCACUGAGCAAGGCCAGGGAUCAAACCUGCAUCCUCAAGAAUAGUAGUCAUAUCCUGGAGUUCCCACUGUGGCAGAGCAGAAACGAAUCCUACUAGGAACCACGAGGUUGUGGGUUCGAUCCCUGGCCUCAUUCAGUGGCUUAAGGAUCCAGCAUUGCCAUGAACUGUGGUGUAGGUGACAGACGCAGCUCGGAUCUGGCGUUGCUGUGGCUCUGGUAUAGGCCAGUGGCUAUAGCUCUGAUUAGACCCCUGGCCUGGGAACUUCCACAUGCCACAGGGGCAGCCCUAAGAAGGCAAAAAAAAGACAAAAAGAUAAUAUUUUUUUUAAAAAAUAAUUGUAUCCUUAAUCUGCUGAGCCACAAUAGGAACUCCAUUAUUUGUAUAUUUAUUUUCUUUUGCUUUUUUUUUUUAGUUAGGAAAGACCACUGGAUUUGUCAGGAUCCUUUAGAUACCAGUCCAGGAUCUGUCAAAGGCUUUUUAAAUACCAGUCCACUGAUCCACCCUAAAUUUGAAUUAUCUUUUUUAAAUACUUAAAUAUGCCCACACAUGUUUAUGGACUGUUAAUUUUAUUGUACUGAUCUAUAAAUCAUUUUUAACACUAAUACUAUACAAGUUUAUUUAUAGAGCAUUUUGACACAUUAUUAGAGCUGGUAAAAUAAAUUUCCAUUUCACCAAUUUUUAAGAUUUUCUUGGCUAAUGUGGGCCAAUAUCCUUAUUGUUAUUUAUAUUACCAUCAUUUAGAUACUUAAAAUUAAUAAAACAGAAAUAAUACAAAAUAGUUUCAGGUACUUUGAUUUUAAAAUUGAAAAUGACCAGUGCAAUCUAGGGGCAGCAGAAAUCAGUAGGAGCUUAAUGAGUGAUGACGGAAAGUGUCACAGAAGAUUUACUUUCUCCAACUACAGAAGAGGAUAGGAGAAAGGGGGAGAUAAAUUACACAAAGUUAGUGAAGGCAUUCUGAUUAAGGUUUAGUCCAUUUAGGCUGAAAUACACAUGUGUAGGAAAGCACUCUGAUGCUACUUAUAAGAAGGAUUUCAGUAAAGAAAAGAAAUUCAUUAUUUAGCCACACAGUAACCAGAACAGGAAUUAAGGAAUAAUAAUUUAAGGAAGUAAACUCUGGUACAAUAAUAUUAGAUCAAAGAAGAAUGAGUAAGAAUUUUAAAAAUCUGGAGUUCCUGUUGCAGCUCAGUGGGUAAUGAGCCAAUUGGUAUCCGUGAAGUAUUAAUUACUAUUUUUACUACUUUCUCCUAUGUUCUCUGUAUUCUGUCUCUUGCAGGAAGAGGUUCAGAGUAGAGACACAAUGAAGAAUUAAGUAAUAAAUAGAAGGUUGAUAAGAGUUGUCAAAAUAAAGAGGUGUUCAUUCCAGAACUUGCUUCCCAAUAAAGCAGGGUCCUCAAGCCACCUUCUCUGAACCUUGAUUCCACUGCAUUUUUUAGUUCGUGAAGAGGUGGCUUCAAUAAGUCCUUUCAAACUAUUAAACUUCAGGCCAUUUGAGAAAUUCAUAACCUCAGAGCAAGCUCUUACAAAGCAUGAACAAACACAGCAAGCUUAUCCUCAAAUUCCAGAGGCAGUAAACCUUGUUUGGGAGAAAGCAGGCAGUCCCUCCUGCCUGGAGUGGAAACACCACAGGCAAGGAAAACUAUAGAGCCUGUGUGAUAAAGGAAAGUCACUGUGUAAGAGGGUCUUAAAGUCCAUUACUCCAAACCUUCAUUUAAUUCCAAAAACAUUCUGGAGACCCUGAAGUAACGUGAUCAGAAAGGUACUAGUAGAUGAGACUGGUUGCUUGGAAGAGAACAGACGAAGAAGGUAAAUGAUAAAAUUCUGGUCACUCGAAUGACUGCUAAAGGUGUUCACUGGUACCUACUAUAUAUUUCAUAUUGUUGUAAAAAGAAUAGCUUCCAUUAGGGGAUGGAAAACCAAGGUUUCAUAGGAAAGUCGACUAAAGAAAUAAAGGCUCUCUAGAGACGUAACACCCCGCUGAGCACAUGCCAGUCAUGUGUCCACACAAACACCAUCUCCUAAAUGCUCAAUUUUUAACAAGUAAACUUUUUUUUUUUUUUUUUUUUUUUUUGCUUUUAGGGCCGCACCUGCAGCAUGUGGAGGUUCCCAGGCUAGGGGCUGAAUCAGAGCUACAGCUGCUGGCCUACACCACAGUCACAGCCACACCAGAUCCUUAACCCCUGAGCAAGGCCAUGGAUCGAAUCCACAACCUCAUGGUUCCUACUCGGAUUCGUUUCCACUGCACCAUGACAGGAACUCCCAUUAAGAGGUAAACCAUUUAAAGUUCAUUUUAUUGUGAGCAUUUCAGACCCUGACCCAGAAUCUUGAACUGUGUCACUCACUUCCUGAGUGACCUUGACAAACCAUGCAACUUUUUUUUAUUCUUUAUCUUCUGGGGUAUUUCAAAAAUGAGCUUUGAAAUCACUGCCAUACACAGUCUAUUUGUAAUCUUUAGGAUUCUUGCUGUGCUCUAAAAAGGUUUCUUUUGAUUCAUUCUGAUUCAUGGUACAAUGAAAUGUUGUCUCCCAGAUCUCUGGCGAAAUUUAGAGUUUUUGUAGAAUUUAGUGCUCCAAACUAUUGUAUGAGCAUCUCUUUUAAAAACAUCAAUUUAAGGAGUUCCCACUGUGCACAGUAGAUUAAGGAUCAAGAGCUGCUGCAGCUGUGGUGUAGGUUGGCGGCUCCAGCUCAGAUUCCAUCCCUGGCCUGGGAACCUCCUCAUUCAUGCCAUGGGGGCAGCCCUAAAAAAAGCUAAACAAAACAAAAAAAUUAAAUGUUGGCAGUGUUGUCUUAUGAAGAUGACUUAGAUAUAAAUUGUUAAGUACCAAGAACAGAGAACCAGGACCAACGGGUAAAAAUUAUUACAGGGAGGCAGAUUGUAAAUUAAUGUAAAAAGAAUUCCUCUUUGCAAUUCACUUUGGUUCACAUUUUAUGUGCAAGAUCCAGUUUAGUUUCACAGGUAACAGAAAGAUGAGCAAACCAAAGUACAGGCCUCCCCAAAGAGACAUUAACCUCCUGCAGCUGGAAUAUGGACUGGGUGAGGCAGGAAGCAAGAGAACUGGAGAAGUAGAUGGAACCAGACCAUGGAGGGCCUGGAAAGCUAAGUUGAGGACAUUAGGUUUUUUUAAACAGGCAAUUGAGAAUGAUAAAGCAUUUCUAAAUCCUUUUCAACUCAAAUUUUAAUUAGAAAAAUAAUUAUAUAUUGGGGAAAUAACUAUUUAAAAAUAGUAAUAAUAAAAAACAUAAUAC
This 6582-nucleotide long non-coding RNA is filed under the name Sus scrofa (pig). RNAcentral's name for it is "lncRNA (ENSSSCG00000056171.1)". The record is from RNAcentral. Lineage: Eukaryota; Metazoa; Chordata; Mammalia; Artiodactyla; Suidae.